GGGGCUGUAGCUCAGCUUGGGAGAGCACUUGUCUGGCAGACAAGGGGCCGUGGGUUCGAGUCCCAUCAGCUCCACCA
Molecule: transfer RNA, 77 nt
Filed under: Candidatus Eiseniibacteriota bacterium
Lineage: Bacteria; Candidatus Eiseniibacteriota
Description: tRNA-Ala
Rfam family: tRNA
About the family: Transfer RNA (tRNA) molecules are approximately 80 nucleotides in length. Their secondary structure includes four short double-helical elements and three loops (D, anti-codon, and T loops).
Source: RNAcentral